GCAUCAUGGCCUGUACCCGAAACCGACACAGGUGGGGUGGUAGAGAAUACCGAGGGGCGCGAGGUAACUCUCUCUAAGGAACUCGGCAAAAUGGCCCCGUAACUUCGGGAGAAGGGGUGCCACCGCAAGGUGGUCGCAGUGAAGAGGCCCAGGCGACUGUUUACCAAAAACACAGGUCUCCGCUAAGUCGCAAGACGAUGUAUGGGGGCUGACGCCUGCCCAGUGCCGGAAGGUUAAGGAAGCUGGUCAGCGCAAGCGAAGCUAGCGACUGAAGCCCCGGUGAACGGCGGCCGUAACUAUAACGGUCCUAAGGUAGCGAAAUUCCUUGUCGGGCAAGUUCCGACCCGCACGAAAGGCGUAACGAUCUGGGCGCUGUCUCGGAGAGAGGCUCGGCGAAAUAGAAUUGUCUGUGAAGAUGCGGACUACGUGCACCCGGACAGAAAGACCCUAUGAAGCUUUACUGUAGCUUGGUAUUGUGCCCGGGCUCGCAAUGCGCAGGAUAGGUGGGAGGCUUUGAUCAUCGGCUUGCGGGUCGAUGUGAGCCAACGGUGAGAUACCACUAUUUGCGAGCUAGGGUUCUAACGGCCACCCGUCAUCCGGGGGCCGGACAGUACCUGGUGGGCAGUUUGACUGGGGCGGUCGCCUCCUAAAAGGUAACGGAGGCGCGCAAAGGUUUGCUCAGGCUGGUUGGAAAUCAGCCGACGAGUGUAAAAGCAGAAGCAAGCUUGACUGUGAGACCAACAAGUCGAACAGGGAGGAAACUCGGCUUUAGUGAUCCGACGGUUCUGAGUGGAAGGGCCGUCGCUCAACGGAUAAAAGUUACUCUAGGAUAACAGGCUGAUCUCCCCCAAGAGUUCACAUCGACGGGGAGGUUUGGCACCUCGAUGUCGGCUCAUCGCAACCUGGGGCUGAAGUCGGUCCCAAGGGUUGGGCUGUUCGCCCAUUAAAGCGGUACGCGAGCUGGGUUCAGAACGUCGUGAGACAGUUCGGUCCAUAUCCGGUGCACGCGCAGGAAUAUUGAGAGGAUUUCUCCCUAGUACGAGAGGACCGGGAGGAACGCACCUCUGGUGUACCAGUUAUCGUGCCAACGGUAAACGCUGGGUAGCCAUGUGCGGAGUGGAUAACCGCUGAAAGCAUCUAAGUGGGAAGCCCACCUCAAGAUGAGUAUUCCCAUGGCGUAAGCCAGUAAGGUCACGGGAAGAACACCCGUUGAUAGGCUCUAUGUGGAAGCGCAGUAAUGCGUGAAGCAGAGGAGUACUAAUAGACCGAGGGCUUGACC
This 1279-nucleotide ribosomal RNA is filed under the name metagenome. Its description in RNAcentral is "bacterial LSU rRNA". It matches the Rfam family "Bacterial large subunit ribosomal RNA", at positions 1632 to 2925 of the family's 2925-position model. The record is from RNAcentral.